AAGAGAAAAAAGGCAUUGGAGAGAAAAGGCCAAAGGCAGACAGAGCACCAAAACUGGUGGAUUGGAUGGAAAAGUCUGUGAUGGAGACUCCUCUCCAGCUAGCAGCUAAAAACUGACACCAUGCUCAGAGGAUAAAUCGAGGGAGAUACGUCAUUCCUCCCCUGGCUUGGGUUCUUGAGCCUUAUUCAGCUCACCAAAGCUGGCCUGGUUUCUUCUAUUUUGCAGAAUUGCUCUGCAGGAAAGGAGGGGUCCCUUUUUUCCUCGGCUAACAAGACCAUGCUUGGAAGAGACAUGCAUCUCAAAGAGGCCAAUUUCAGUACAGCUGAACAGAAUGCAACCAUCCUUCCCGCUAUAUACAUGAAUAUUCCACAUCCGAUUCGCAGUCUGUCUAACCCUAUAAUGGGCUUCCUGACAUGUGUGUUAAGGGACCGAAUAUUUGCACGUUUCUUUGCCUCCAUCGUCAUCUUUGGGCUUUUGGGAAACAUUGUCAUUUUCUCCUUUCUCCUCUUCCACAUUAAGAGGAAUUCCUGGAAUGCUUACAUCUGGAACUUAGCUAUAGCCAACUGCGGCAUCUUUUUAUUUCUCUGCAGUUCCUUUCUCCUCGCCUUUGUUAAUUACAUUUUUAAGGAUGCCAGCGAUGCCUUUGUGCAGUUGUUUCUCUCACUGGCAUACCUGUUUUUAUACACCCAGUGUGCUUAUAUGCAUUUCAUUGCAGCCAUCAGCAUCGAUUGGGGCCUGCUUCUCCUCUUCCCAAGUUGGCACAAACAGCAUCAGCCAAACUCCUUGUCCUCUCUCGUAUCAGCUGUUUUAUCGGCCCUCCUCUGGCCUCUGUUGUGCCAACUGUUGUUCUUUUUCAGCUUGGGAGUCAACCCAAAGACCAUCGUGAUCCUAUCCUUGAUUCUUUUCCUCCCUCUGGUGUCCAUCUCCUUUCAGACCCUGAUAGUCAACAUUUGGUACAACUUGGGCCAGCAAAGAAAAAUCCGUGCAGAAAAAAUGCUGAAAAUGCUUGGUUCCAUUGUCACUCUGGUACCCCUCCAUCUCUUCUUCACCCAGAACUCUGAUUGCACAAUCAUCUCAUUAUUUUUUAUGCUUUACGUUUUGUUUUUGUGUUUUGCAAGGAUGAGCUAAGAAUAGUCAGUAUUGGUUUAUAGAGUCUUAAAGUACCACACCUAUGUCUAGAUGAAUAAAGCUUGCACCCUUGGCUCUGUUUAAAUAAACGAAUGCAUGCCAAA
Long non-coding RNA from Rhineura floridana, 1232 nucleotides. RefSeq lists it as uncharacterized. The record is from RefSeq and is a predicted model, not a curated record. NCBI's taxonomy places the organism in Eukaryota, Metazoa, Chordata, Lepidosauria, Squamata, Rhineuridae. The transcript is spliced from 3 exons.